RNAcentral lists this ribosomal RNA (253 nucleotides) under uncultured bacterium. RNAcentral describes it as "partial 16S ribosomal RNA". It matches the Rfam family "Bacterial small subunit ribosomal RNA", at positions 524 to 776 of the family's 1533-position model. The record is from RNAcentral.
UACAGAGGGGGCAAGCGUUGUUCGGAAUUACUGGGCGUAAAGGGCGCGUAGGCGGCCUGUUAAGUCGGACGUGAAAUCCCUCGGCUCAACCGGGGAACUGCGUCUGAUACUGGCGGGCUUGAAUUCGGGAGAGGGAUGUGGAAUUCCAGGUGUAGCGGUGAAAUGCGUAGAUAUCUGGAGGAACACCAGCGGCGAAGGCGGCACUCUGGGCUGGUAUUGACGCUGAGGAGCGAAAGCAUGGGGAGCGAACAGG